This is a long non-coding RNA of Leopardus geoffroyi (Geoffroy's cat), 3220 nucleotides long. RefSeq lists it as uncharacterized. The transcript is spliced from 5 exons. Lineage: Eukaryota; Metazoa; Chordata; Mammalia; Carnivora; Felidae. The record is from RefSeq and is a predicted model, not a curated record.
CAGGGCUCAAACUCGCGAACUGUGAGAUCAUGACCUGACACUUAACCGACUGAGCCACCCAGGCACCCUGAUAUUACCUUCUGCUUUAUUUUCUCAGUAGUGCCAAAGUAUAAUUUUUGUACUCCCUCCCAACAUCAUAGUGGGAGAUAAUGGUGAUAGCAUCUGUUGAUAGCAUCUGUAGAGAGGAUCUAGAUGGGUUUUAGUAGAAUAGGCUGAGCUUGUGCUGCCUUGACUCACAAGCCCAAAACUCAGUGGCUUAACUGAGAUAGCUUCUUUCUUCCUCAAAGUCUGUUUAAGUCAGGUGACUAACCAUGAUGGUUCUCCUCCAUGCAGUGACUCAGGAGUCCAGGCUCAUUGUAGCUCAUGGCCCCAAUCGGUCAACAUAUAGCCGCCAUGCUUGCCCCCAAAAGGAAGGAGAUUGUGUUGAAAGGUCCCACAGAGUCUUUUACAUAACUCAGGCCAGAAGGGACAUACAUCACUUCUGCUCAUGGUCCAAUGGUCAGCUAGUUCCAUGGUCCCACUUAACUAUAAGAAGGCUGGUUGGGAAGUAUAGUCUUCUAAGGGCCCUUCAAGGAAAGGAACCCUGGGCAUUGGUGAGCACUUCUCAAGUUUCGCACAACAGCCAGCUUUGGAAUGGCUUCCUUAAGAUGGAGAGAGCACAGGAGUAGGAUCCAGCAGAGCUGAGCAUAGAUCUUGUUGAAUCAGUCACUAUCCAUGUUGCCUUGAGUAAAUCAAUCAUUACCUCUGGGUCUCAGUUUUCAAAUCCACCAAAUGGGGAAAAUAAUACCUACCCUGCUUGUAUUAGCGAGACUUUUUAGUUUCCACUACAAAAGUCUGCAAGCAGAAUUACCAUAUUUAGGCGACUGUUCAAAUGCAAGUACAUAAAUAAUGCAGUAUGAAACCUAGAAAGCCUGUCUGGAUGAGAUAUAACGAAUUAUGCUGUUCUACAUCAACAUUGUUAGAGCCAUAAACAACGGUACCAUGUCCAGUCUUGCUUGCUUAACGGCUGAGAUGCCUAAGCAGCGAAGUAAGGAGCUGUUUACGUAUCAGCACUGAUGUAUUUUCUAUGUACGGAGUAUGAAGAAAAUGCAAAGGAAAUUAUGAUAUAUGUUAAACAUUAAAGAUUACCCAAAGCACAAGUUUGGCGGCUCUUGUGGUAUCUGAUGCUCUGUUGCUAGAGAGCAUCUACCUAGAUCAGCUACUAGGCCACAAAGCCGACCCUAUGUUCCAAGGAUGGAUGUGUAGUUAGGACAGGGUAUAAUACUGGCCAACUGUCAGCUAUUUGAGAAGUUUCAUUACCAUGUAUUUGAGGUGAUAUCAAAGUCUUUCAAAGACAUCAAUUUUUACAGAUUUGGCUAAUUAAUGUGUAUAUUUGUUGUCAGACAUCAAACGGUACUGAACGUACAUGUAGUUAUUUUGUAAGUCACCUCAAGAUUGCUCGUGAUGGUAAAAUUUUAAUGGUAAUAAUGAUAAUCAUGAUUAUUGAUCAUUUUUCCGUAUGCAAAAAAUGUCGUCAAUAGCAGGCGUAAUCUUAUAAAUAGAUGUCAUGCAAAAUACUCAAACGUGUGAAUUCUAUUAAAAUAUGCUUUGGGUUCUCUGGAAAACUCAGUGAAAUCUACAGCAUCAUGACAGAAAGAGUCCAAGUCACCUGUUUUAAAGUGACAAACUGUCCCUAUAGAGAGGUUCUUUUUAACUCAGCCUGCCAUUUAUUUUCUGAGAAAGCUCAUUCUGCCUGCAUGUAUCUAUGUCUGAUAGACAAGUAUUUCCUACAUUAAACAGAUGGGCCUCUACAGAAGCUCCCCCUAUGACUCUAGUUCAGAAAACGUUUCUUGCUGCUAGUAAUAGUAUUAUACACACACGAAACAUUAGGAACACCUAUAUGGUCAGUGAAAGGUCACAGAUCGAUUACAGCCUAAAAUAUUAGAGUCCAGGAACCAGUCAGUACUGUGGUAACCAACCCACAAAAAUCCAUAUAAAAAUCUGCUAAUUGAACUUUGUCAUGGAAUUUUUCUGCCUAGUCAUUGGCCCACAUAACUCUAUGGUGAUGAACAAAAGAAAUGGAUCGAAUAAAGCCAGCUGCAAAUAGAUACCCACGGCCACGUGCUGGGAUGCAGAUAGCAUAUCAACAAUGAGAUAAAGCUUUCUGAAGCAGAAGGUCACUGAACCAAAAUUUCUGACACAUGUCCAAGUGCUGGCUUUUAAAAUGGAGCGUAACAGAAAGCACAUUCUUUCCGGUCACUGGAAUUCUUUCAAAGAAGCAGUUGUAUGAAAUGGAAGACGACGGUAUAUUGAAGGGUGCUGCUAAAGGGUUCUGAGCAGAGGAGUGACAUGAUCCAAAAUUGGGUUUUGGAAGGAAUCCCUCCGGUUGCUGGGCUGAGAAGAGACGAUCAGGAGUGAGGGUAACCUGAGAAAGAGAACUAGGAGGCAGUGGCAGUAAUCCAGGUGAGAGGUAUUUUUCAGAGAUGAAAUCAGCGACCUUGGUUCUCCAUGAGUUAACUUACCGAUGCUAGCUAGCCCAGACUGAAACGACUUUAUACAUAUGCUAAAGAGAUCUAUUUAGAUAGAUACAGCUCUGCCAAUACAUUUCACCUCGAGAAAUGCUCGGGUAUGCUUUUUAAUUCUUACAUUUUGUGAGCAGGUGGUACAAUGAAUGGACACCAACUUCAAACAAACUCCCAUAAGAACCAUCAGGACUAACUUACCCGAAAGGAACAUUCAAAUUCACAUCAAUCAAUAACAGCUAAUAAUGGCCUCCGUUAAUUUGUUUUAAUUUUGACCAAGUGAUAAUAUUGCCAUCAUUUUUUUUUUUUAAACGAUCCUUGAUGGAACUGCUACCUCUGUUGAACUCUUGAGUGUAUCUCGUCCCAAAGAGAAUGAUCAACAAAAUCAGUCCUGGAUACAUGCUAUACAUUCUGUUAUACCUACUCAUAGCUCAUCUGUGACAUAGCUUCUGAAUUAAAAGCAAAGAAAAAAAAAAGGAACAGAGAGAAUAAAAUAUGUGCUCACAUCUGAGAAGAAUUCAACUAAUUUCUUUAGCUGACGAAGUGACAAUGAUGAGUUAUGGCACAACACUGGUAUAGAUAUCUUCAGGAAUACAAACAUGUAUUGGUCAACAGCUCUACAACGAUGGGUGCAGUUAGCUGUGAGGUGACAAAUAAGGACACAACGCACACAGUAAUGGAUAUUAGUGGAUGGGACCAGGAGCCAGGGGACCAGAGAA